Molecule: microRNA precursor, 87 nt
Filed under: Petromyzon marinus (sea lamprey)
Lineage: Eukaryota; Metazoa; Chordata; Hyperoartia; Petromyzontiformes; Petromyzontidae
Description: microRNA pma-mir-147 precursor
Gene: pma-mir-147
Source: miRBase by way of RNAcentral
CCAGGGAGAUUAGCGGAAUCGAUUCCGCUCAAACUCGUGUGAGUUUCGACUGCGAGUGUGCGGAUUUGCUUCUGCCAAUCUCCUCGG